CUCUAUUAACAGUAUGUCAGUUGAAACCAGAACACUGCCUCUCAUACUUUUAUAUGUGACACAGCUGGGACACAGCUAAAAUCCAGUAGACAGGAGAACUCUUGAUGUACCAGAUGGAAAACUUGGAGACAUAAUUAAGGAGUAAACAGUAUCCAGAAACUCAAAUCAGACCAAGUAACUUCUUAAGAGUUUUGGAAUACAAACAGGACUCAGUGGAACACGCACAUGAGAAGAGCACAGUAGCCUGGCAUUCAAAUAGAACAGUGAAGGGCAAGUUGGAUGAUGACCUGGGCAGACUGCAUGAAGGAAUCAGGUGCUGGAACUGGGUGCAGGUGUACUGGAACCAGGUGAUUUUCAAGGCCCUUCCAAUCCAGUUGAUGCUCAUUCACAGACUGCUCCAUCUUCACUUUUAAGACUUUAAAUGUAUGAGAAGCUGACUGACUUAGAUGACAGUAAGGUGCUGUUCUAUACAGAAUGGUCAUAGAAGCUCAAUGAGGAAACUAAUAUUAGAUUACAAAAUUUUGUCUUUUAAAAAUGAGAUGAAUGACACCUUCAUUUCAAACUUUCAAAACUGACAUUGUUAACUGAAUCAGUUACAGACAAGUGAGCAAUUACUACAGAGAAACAGUAGGAGUGAAUUUACCAUCCACACAGUGAAAAAAGGAAAAAUAUAAUAUACAUCAGUCUAUGUAUCUGCCCUGUAGGAUUUUUCUAAUAAACCUUUUUUUUUUUUUUUUUUUCCAGUUCUCUUAGAAAGUCAAGUCCUGAAAAUUCUAAAUGACUAAUAUGUUAAUAAAGUACAUCCUUCAUCUUUAAGGAUCUUUAUUUUACGUGCAAAUAAAAACUUUGCUCUGCUUUCUUUGAAUGCAAUUCGUACCCCUUUCCAAAAUGAAAAAUGACUGAACAGAACUCAAAAUUUUUAUAACAGUAUGCAAAUUAAAUAUUUUGGCUGUUUUCCAAUACCUUAAAAAUUACAUUUUGGAAGGAAUGCUUUUCCAAUGAAAGGAUUAUAAGUAAUUUUCAGUAAAAAAAAAAAAAAAAAAAAAAGGAAUCUUGGUGAGCUAGGGCAUUCACUGCAUGUAUACUGCAUUGACAGUUUUCAGUGAUUUCAGGUUUUCUUACAGAAAGUAUUUUCUACUAAAUUUUAUUUUUCUCCCUUUCAACAGCUUUUGAAAUACCAUUAUCAAUUUAGUAUUUUCUGGAUGAGAAAAAAUGUGUAAAAGGAAAAUAUAAUUCACAGUAUCUAGUUUCUCUCUAGAUUUUCAAGUUUUUGAUGCUGAAUUCCAGAAUAAAGGAAUAACUCAAGAACAGGAAGAACCAAAAAUAAUUUUAGCUUUGAAGAGUUUAAUUUACAGGAAAAGGAGGUUUUGAGUCAGACUCAUAUCUGAUGUUGUUUUAUAAAAAAUGUAUCCAUUCCAGAUUUUGCAAAACAUAUUCUCAUGUCAAAGUGCAUUCUUUAAUCUGCAUUUAUAAGUAAUGAUUUUGUUUAAUUAUACAGAGCAGGAGUUGUACAUUACCAUACUGAAUAUGUCAUUAGAAUAGUUUUUAUUCUAAGUUAUUUUUUAAUGGCAUUUGGUUGCUUAAGUGUAAAAAAUGAGAAUACAAAUAUAACACAUCCUUUUUUUCUACAUUAUCAUGAUGACUGCUAAAUUAAUAUAAAUAAUUAAUUUAUACAGAAAGUUAUCCAUAAGCAGCAUAUAAACAAUGCUGCCACUGAUGCUUAAUUGAAAAAGAGAGAUGCAAACAAUUCUUUGAUCUUUGCCAAAGAGAAGACUCAAGAAAACGGAUCCACUUCCUAUGACAGAAAGAAGUCAACCAAACAACGAAUCACAAAGAAGAGAGGGACCACAAGCAAAUUAAUAAACAAAAAAAACCAAGAGAUCAAAAUUAUUCUGGCACCUGUAAAAUCACUCUGGCAAGGGAUCUGAAUAUGAGUGCAGAAAGAAGCAAAACAGAAGAAAUCAGUAUCUUAUGAAACAUGAAAAAUAAGAAAGUUGAGAGUUGAAGGACUCCUAUGAAAAUAAUUCCUUGCUAUUAUUUAUUUGUUUUUCUAGAUUUUGUAUUACUUGCUCUUUGUAAAAAUUACAGUAGUAAACAUAGUAAGAAAUUAAUCAUUGUUAGGGCAAUAUUUAUAUAAAUUUGACAGAGUAGCUUAGGUAAAGACCAGAAUAUAUUUUACUGAGAUUAAGUACUAAUACGAUAAUUGUAGUUUUUAGGCACUUCAGGAAGUUUAAAGUUCUAGCUGGAGGAUGAUUAAUUCAGCCCCUAGCUAACAAGGUACAGUUUCCUUAGUGUCUCUGAACAUCAUAGUCCAGCAGAGGUGAGAACAAAAGUAGAUUCAAUUUCAAAGCCACUUUAUGAGAAGUGACUUCUACUUAAAAAUAUCUUGGUAAACUGAGAGGUUAUUACAUAAAUCCUCACUAUGCCAGUGUCUUGUACUUGGAAGACUAGAACCACAUAAACUUCCUUCACACAUAUUCAGUAAGGCAGCAUGCUACAGGAGAAAAAAAAUCUGAUUUGGUAUCAAUCUUCAGCUUCCAUUCUUUCAGCUUCAGGUAUUUAGACAUGUUGAACUGAGGUGCCCUGCAGAAGUUAAAUGAAAAGACAAAUGUGGAUAGGUUGUUCAGCAAUACAGGUGAAAGGCUACACUUUAAUUUGGCAAAAUAUGUUUAAAUUAGGCCUUAUAAUAGGUAGGUUCCCCAUUAUUUUGUGCCAUUAACUUGGUUUUAGAGAAUACUUUAAAACGCCUUUACUUGUUAAAUCUUUCACAGCCAGCUGAUUGUCUCCCUAACAGAAAAUGAGAAGAAAAAUGUCAAGAAGAGCAAGGAUUAUCUUAACCUUGUACUACACUGAUCAGAACUCUGCUCGAAGUCAAUGAUUGCAAAACUUGUUCAGAAUAACCUGAUGAUUCAGUCUCCCAGAAUGCUAAUCUUCGAAAUCAUUGCAGCAAGAGACAAGAGGUUUAAAGCCACAUUCAAUUGUAAUGAGAUCCGUCAUUAAAGGCAGAUCACAGUCCAUUGACAUGCCUAACUUGUAAUUACUUUUACUUUAAUAUUUUCAUUAGCACAAGAAUUUAGAAUCAUUAUUCUGUCUUUAUAUUUUGCCUAUUAUUUUCAUUUUAUUCUAAUAACAAACUUGUUAAUAAAGCUCUCAGUUUUCUGC
Gallus gallus (chicken) is the source of this 3162-nucleotide long non-coding RNA. The record is from Ensembl. Lineage: Eukaryota; Metazoa; Chordata; Aves; Galliformes; Phasianidae.